RNAcentral lists this ribosomal RNA (253 nucleotides) under uncultured bacterium. RNAcentral describes it as "partial 16S ribosomal RNA". It matches the Rfam family "Bacterial small subunit ribosomal RNA", at positions 524 to 776 of the family's 1533-position model. The record is from RNAcentral.
UACGAAGGGGGCUAGCGUUGCUCGGAAUCACUGGGCGUAAAGGGUGCGUAGGCGGGUCUUUAAGUCAGGGGUGAAAUCCUGGAGCUCAACUCCAGAACUGCCUUUGAUACUGAGGAUCUUGAGUUCGGGAGAGGUGAGUGGAACUGCGAGUGUAGAGGUGAAAUUCGUAGUUAUUCGCAAGAACACCAGUGGCGAAGGCGGCUCACUGGCCCGAUACUGACGCUGAGGCACGAAAGCGUGGGGAGCAAACAGG